RNAcentral lists this long non-coding RNA (7100 nucleotides) under Linum usitatissimum (flax). RNAcentral describes it as "long non-coding RNA (LUSI_LNC005009)". Lineage: Eukaryota; Viridiplantae; Streptophyta; Magnoliopsida; Malpighiales; Linaceae. The record is from RNAcentral.
UAUAAUGUAGCUAACUAGCUAGAGUGGUAUCUUUAUGUGGAAAAAUUUCCGGGAGGAGAAUGGUAUUAGUGGAGAAGACCGAAGUUCAUGAACUUGCUAUUUCGCUUGUUAUUUUCUUUUGAUGCAGAGAGUACUUUAAUAUGAUGUUAUACAGGAAGUCAACUCUUUCCUUGAUCUUUUGUUUUUAGUAACUUGGGUGUGAGCUUGGCUUCAUAUGAUGAUGACUUGCCGUGUUCCCUCGCGAAUUCCACAUACUAAUCAAGCUUCAUUCUCUGCAGGCAUUUGAUUGGCUUUUUUCUUUUUCUUUCGUUGACCAUCUAUACAGCAAUGAAGGUUCCAAAUGUCCACCUUCAUUCUAUGCAUCUGUCAGAUGCUCUGAAAGCUGAUUUGCACAAAUUGCAUUCAUGCCUACCUUCUUUACCACACAUGCCCGAUCUUCAUAGACUCAGGGAUGAGCUAAAGACUACAUUGCCUUCGAUGGAUUUCUCAGGAUGGCAUGUUACAGAACUUCUCUACAAUUGUUUGCCUGAGCGAUUUUCCUAUGUCAACCACACUGAUGUUUGUCGCUUGGUAAUUUUCUUUCACGCUUUUGAUGCUUGACAAGAACCUGAUAGUUACUUACGCUCAGUGUUCAUUCCGUAAAGUGUUUCUGAUAGCGAUAGCCUGUCAUCGUAUCUUUGUAGUGUUCUGAAAUCUUCCAACGUUGAACUAGUUUUUCUGGCAUGGUUGUUACUGCCUGAUAGCCACCCUUGCCUGUCUUUUAUCUCCCCUUGUCUUAUCAAUGCUAUACUAAAGUAACUUGGCUUUAGCACUGUUGUUUCUCAAGUGUUUGUGGUACUAGUUUCUGUUCUUUUAUCUUUAGUAAUCCUGUUUUUUAAACUGUCAACGCAGCGGAGCAUGACAGAUGAUGUAGGGAAUAUGAUAGCACCACUUAUGGUGAGACCUAUCACCAGAUGGCCGUUUUUUGCCUUCAUGGGAGGAGCAAUGUUCUGCUUGCUUGCUAGCAGCAUAUGUCACCUUUUCUCUUGCCACUCGGAGCGCAUGGCAUAUAUAAUGCUCCGGGUUGAUUAUGCUGGAAUUGCAGCUCUGAUAGCGACCUCCUUCUACCCACCAGUAUACUAUUCCUUCAUGUGCAAUCCAUUCUUCUGCAACCUCUACUUGGGAUUCAUAACCCUAUUUGGGAUUACCACUGUUUUGUUCUCGUUACUCCCAGUUUUCCAAAACCCGGAAUGGCGUACAGUUCGUGCAUCCCUCUUCUCUUUCAUGGGUCUUUCUGGAGCAGCGCCCAUAUUGCACAAGCUCAUAGUGUUCUGGCACCAGCCUGAGGCACUCCACACCACUGGGUAUGAACUCCUAAUGGGAUUUUUCUAUGGACUUGGAGCUGUGGUAUAUGCAACAAGAGUUCCAGAGCGGUGGAUGCCUGGGAAAUGUGACCUUGCAGGCCACAGUCACCAAUUUUUCCACGUGCUAGUGGUGGCUGGAGCUUAUGCCCAUUACCGGGCAGGACUUGUUUACCUAAAAUGGAGAGACCUCCAUGGAUGCUAAUGUGGAAGAUUUAACAGGGGAACUGAGGGUCUGUAUGUGAUUAAGAAAUGAAUUUAUGUUAGUUAGGAGAAGCAAAUAAUGUGUACAAUGUCAAUAUAAAAGAUGUAAGUAGGCGAAAUAGAGUGAAAAGGAAAUAGAAAUGAAGUGGGAGAGGGACGAUGGUUAUCUGAUCUCGUAGAAUGCAUCAUUCAUUAGUGUGCCUAUGUCAUAUUGAAGUUGGUGGUGGCUGCUGCUGCUGCUGCUAUUUCUUUGUAAUGGCAAGAAAUGCCAUUGGUGUAGGGUCAAGACUCUGCUAGUAGUAGUACGUUGUAAUGGUCUAAGUUUAUGUUGCAAUAAUUUGAUAUUGAAAAUUAUGUUUAUGUCAUAUGAUUUGUGAUGUUGUAACCAGUAACCAACAGAGCUUUGAAAUUCUAACAAGGACAUUUAGCUCCAUUAGGCACGUUGGGGUUCCGGAGUCUGGACUGUCACAGUUUAACAAGUGAUACCAAGUCUUGCAACAGUGAGUAACUUUUUGGAUCCGCCUGAUUGCCGGAAGCUUUUCAAUAAGUGAUACUCUUGUUUCUUUUUUGCCCCAGAAACGGCUAAAGAAAAGAACGAAGAAUGGCUUGUUUCUUCAGAGUUCAGAAUACCAUCCUUGCUUCAACACCAUAAUAACAAUGAACGCCGGCCUAGUGAUCAAAUUUGUAAAUAUUAAGAAAUUGAAUAUGUAUUUCAUUUUUGUUCCCGAAAAGGAUGGUACCCGAAUUGUCAUUCCUCUAAAACGUUCAAAAGAGUGUACAUAAUGCCCACCGAAGGUACAAACUCCACAAACGGAGCUGUAUGGCCCGCAGGUCUCCGCCAAUAAACGUUAACCUCGAUCCUUGCUCACCAGCUAACGGACAACUGUAAAGAAACAGAGUCAUCAGAGAACAAUAAACAAAAGUGCGCUGACACAUUACUAAAAGAAGCAAAACACUAGCAAUGGAUGCUUAAAGGUCCUUAUUGGAAACAUCAUAAGGUUAGUCUCAUGGCUAUCCCUCCUUCCUUCAUAGUUGAGAGUUUUAGCCCCCGAUUUCCGGAGCGAAUCUGGUGGGCGUAGGUCUCCUCCGAAAUGUGUUCCCCGAAUCAACAGUCGGGAUGUUGGGAGAGGAGAUGUUGGUCCUCACGGUGGGGGAUCUGGUGGUGGUGGUUGGAAACCCAGCAACGGACGCUGGAGGCGUGACAGUGGUGCAGUGACUCGUGGCGCGGUGGAUUCGAGAGAUCCCCGUUCUUCUUGCCACAUGUAGGUGUGGUCGUAGCACUUAGAGACGGGGUUCCAUGCGGUGGCCUCGAGAUGAAGGAGCUCGUUUGGGCUCGGUGAUGUUCCAUGGACGAGAGGGGUGGCUAGGGUUUAGGAUUUGGCGGGAGGCUCUCGAGAGAGUGGCAACUAUGCUUCGGAGAAGCGGCAGUUAGGACAGCAGUUUUGCUUUGCUACUUUGAUAAUAUGUAUUGUUGAUUGUUGAAGUGUUGAAUAUCUACUUCAUUUAUUAUUAUUGUAGACGUAAGUUGUAAAAUUAAUCAUUUAAAUUGUACAAAUUAGUAGUCAGCUAACUUAGAGAGGUUGCUGGAAAAUCCAUCUCUCAAACAUUGCAAAACAUUCCCUGGGAUUGUACUCUGGAGCAGUGUGACCGCCUCCCUGGACGUUAAGAAACAAAUCAACAAAUGAAUUCUAAACUUAAACACUCAGGAAAUCCAAAUUAUAGAACAAGCAACAGAAAGAUGAGGGUUGCCUUGCCUUGGCAGUUGCAAAUGUUAAGCCAUUGGCGUGUCUCUCAGCGUACCUGCAUUACGUGACAAGUUGGUAUAUAUUAGUCUAACAAGUCUUGGACUGAUGGGGAAACAAAAUUGGCAGUCCCCAGUUUCGGCAGGGUCCCCUACACAGCAACUUGACCAUCGACUAGCCAUGGUCGCCAUUUCUCUACAACCGUGAGAUUCAAAGAUUUGAUCCAGUCCAGAGUUCCCAAGUAAGGAAUCACCAUGUCAUGAUCUCCACUGUAAUGAUCAAACACCAGAGUAAGUAAAACAAUGAAAUCGAUGCCCUAUUAAGUAGAAAUGGGGAAUUCCAACGAUUAUAUUCACCUGAAAAUGAGAGCGGGGAAGCCUCUGGCAUUCAGAUAUUGAAUGGUACUUGAUAGUGCUCGAUAUAUCUCGAAUGUAAUGCAAGCUCUCAUUGUAUAUAUCUCAAGGUUUGAUUUUUGACUCUACCUUCCAAGCAUGAAGUGCCUUCUGAACACUGAUGUCAUUAGCCCAUAUGUUGCAAAGAAAGCUAUUGUAGCCCUGCAGUACUCUACUCACUCACUCCAAUUCAAACCCAAAUAUAAAUUAAUAAUAAAUAAAAACAAAAUUCACCAGUGGAUCAAAGAAGUCUACCCGGCAUUUGGGUUGAGGGUAAUCAGGUGGUAUGAGGGGGAAUUGUUCAGUUUUCUGAUGAAGAAACCUCUGAUCUUCAUUCAAGCUGUCAAGUAUCCUGAAGGUGGCAGUGCAUUGGGGUUCCAGAAUGUGUGAUCUUUCUGUGCACUGUCCGAAACAAACAAUUGAAAAAAACAGUGUUGCUGAUAGAUGAAAAGAAUGAAGAAUGAAGAAUAUUGGAAGUACCCGAGGUUAAUAUAUGUGUAAUGAUAGGUGGAACCACCAUGCCGGAAUAUGAGUCUCCAGCAAUAUACAAAGGGUUGUUCAAGAAUCUGGGCUUAUGAAUAAGAAUUGAUGGAAGAUUGUAAGUAAAGAAGCAUUAUUUUUGUAGACGACCGACCUUAUAAAGAUUCAUCAGAUUCAGAGCAUUCAGAGCAUGUAGGACUACUCAAUUGCAAUAGGUGUUGGUAUUAUUUGGAAGCGGAGUAACCGACUUAAAAAGGAGGUUAUUUGUCGUGAUAAGUCAUGUAAAUGGAGAGCGUAUGCUAGUUGGCAUGGGAGGAAAACUAUAUUUAUGGUAAAAGGUGUAGGUGAGCCUCACAAUUGUCCAUGUGCCCUUCGCAAUAAACAAGCAUCGUCAAGGUUGAUUGUCAAAACUUUUCUUGAUAGGUCUAGGUAUAAUCCAAAUUGGGAUCUUGUGCAAAUGGCCAUUGAAUUGAAAGAAACAUAUGCAUUAGAUGUUAAUACUAAGAAGUGCUAUAGAGCCAGAGAACAUGCAACAAAAAUCUUGAAAGGCACUUUGGGAGAUGAAUACAAUAAACUCCGUUUAUAUAUUGUCGAAAUUAAAAAAGUUGAUCCUAAUGGACGAUUUGACUUAGAAGUUGAAGUUGAAGUUGAUGAGAAUGCUCAUAAGAUUUACUUUCAAAGACUCUUUGUGGGGUUUUCAUGUGUUGAGAAGGGGUUUUGGUAGGUUGUAGGCCAAUGUUUGGUUUGGAUGAGUGUUUUCAGAAAGGAGAAGUAAAAGGAAUAUUAUUUAGUGCUAUAGGAAAAGAUGGAAACAGUAAAUAGUACCCUGUAGCAUGGGUUGUUGUUUAAGGUGAAAAUCAAAAUUCAUGGACAUGGUUCGUACAAACAUUGUAGAAAGAGUUAGGCUUACAAGAUGGCAAUGGGUGGUCAGUGAUUUCGGACCAACAAAAGGUAGGAAAAGCUCAAGUCGAUCUCUUAAGCCUUUAUAUAUGUCCAUGAAUUAAGUACAUUUCUUAACUUUGUUUGUUGAUUAUUUUUAGGGUCUAGUGCAGACACUUCAAGAGUGUUUACUCCAACCAUAACCUUAGCUUGGCCACUGAAACACCAACGAUUGAUCAUAGUUAUUCCUUGAUAAUCUGUAAAUAUUUGGUGGCUGGUUCGGGGUCAGUCCUCAUAAAUCACAAUAAAGAUCACAAUCACAAACACAUAAGCAAUAUGACUCUGGCUUUUUCCAUAUUUUAGUUGGGAUCCCUGGCUCAUGUAUGCUGACGAUUCCCGGGCAUUCGCAUAUCAUUAAUGGUAAAUUCAGACCCAUUUCAAUUAUCAUUGGUGGCACCAUCAAGGGCCCAUUAUUCGCACCCAUUUGGGGCCAUAUACACGUAGCAAUAGUGCAAUAUGCACACACAUAGAUCGCCAACAUACGGGUCCUAAUCUAAGUGAUCAUACCAUUUCCAUCAUUAACCCAUUGAUAUUCACUUCGACCUACUAAACACUUCUCGUAUCACAUAUUAAAUAAGACAUAUCACACCAAUCAUGUACAACACGACUUUUAAAAAAGAAGAUAGUCAACCAAUCAUAUACACUUAGUCUUGUGAUAUUGCCACUAUAUCACAUAUUCAAUUCACUAGUUAUGCAUAUAAAAGGAAGUAUAAUUCGCAUAAUCAGUCAUUAAAUUAAUUAUGUAUGUGGAAUUUUCCCCUUAAACCAACCCACUUUGGGUGGAUCGUUUUUGGAUUGAAAUAUACGUCCACGUCCACGAAUCAGUCAAUUACUUCAUUUUCGUAACUGUCCGAGCUAAAAUGUAAUGGCUGGAAAGUAUCUAGGCCACAACUGUCCAUAUUUAAAAGUUAUGGGUUACACCGGAGUUUACCAAAAUUAUGAGGACUAAACUAGAAAAUAAACACAGAGAACUAAAAUGGGAUUUUACCAUCAUCUUCCUUAAUUUACGGAGAUGAAUUCCACUGAAGCAGUCGUCAUUCUGACGAGCUUAUAUCCACUACAUAAUUGCUCACAUAUGAUGAUGGAUCUGAAGACACGAUUAGAUUCCUCGGAUCAGAACUUAUCUAAUGAGAUGGUCUAGGAAGUAGCUUCUUUUGUAGAAAGGGUGGACCAAAGUCCUAUCUAUUAGGAACAAUCAUACGAGGGGUAGCGACGCCCACCAAAUACGCCAAGAUACAAUCAAGAACAGCCUGGGAAGGGGGUUAAUGAAAUGUAAACUUCCACUAACACGGUGACUCAUGUGCGCCAGACGAUCGACAACAAAGUUGCCUUUUCGAUAAAUAUGAUUAAUGCUCACAGUCCAAGGUCUAUCGAGAAGCCUGGCGUCCUCGAUGCAGGUACGGUGAUCAAGGUUCGACUCGUUAUGACUCAUCAAACACGAGAUCACUAUCUGAUAGUCGAGUUGAAGAUUGAUGUUUCUAUAGCCUAAAUUAUAGGCAGUUCGGAGGCCAUACAAGGCACCCAUAAUCUCUACUUUGUAAUAGUACAUUGCUCGAGAUUAGCAGCAAAGGUAGAUAUACCCCCCGUCGCUGCUUGUUUCGAUUGAAUCCUUCUGACGUUGGUCCUCGCCGGCGGGUCAAUCAGAAAAGAUGGAAGAGAUGCUCCAGUUAGUUGUAGGAAAUGAUAAUGGUAUCAAUUGAAUUAUGGAUGGCUUGCUUACCUUCGUGGAUGAGGGAAUCAAACUAAAACCAGCUGGACUAGCUACUUCCAUGGUCGUCGUCAAGCUUGUUAGAGCUUUGAGGUCGGAGAAGGAGACUUAGUUUAUGGAGAUUCUUGUUCUCCAGGACGAUCAGGAAGGUUUAUAAUGACUCUAGAAGGUCCUGCUUGCAUUAUUGGAGGUAAAAUAUGAGCAUACGGCUGUAUCGAUGAAAAUGACCGGCACAACAAGAAAAACCGACAAAGGCUCCGAUAUGACGUUCUGGGACCGAUAUAGUGAAUUAUAG